Molecule: transfer RNA, 70 nt
Filed under: Enterocloster bolteae
Lineage: Bacteria; Bacillati; Bacillota; Clostridia; Lachnospirales; Lachnospiraceae
Description: tRNA-OTHER
Rfam family: tRNA
About the family: Transfer RNA (tRNA) molecules are approximately 80 nucleotides in length. Their secondary structure includes four short double-helical elements and three loops (D, anti-codon, and T loops).
Source: RNAcentral
GGUCCCAUAGUCGAGCGGUAAGACGACGCCCCUCACGGCGUAAACUCGGGUUCGAUCCCCGAUGGGAUCA